This 492-nucleotide ribosomal RNA is filed under the name uncultured bacterium. RNAcentral's name for it is "partial 16S ribosomal RNA". It matches the Rfam family "Bacterial small subunit ribosomal RNA", at positions 29 to 507 of the family's 1533-position model. The record is from RNAcentral.
AGUGAACGCUGGCGGUAGGCCUAACACAUGCAAGUCGAACGGCAGCACAGUAAGAGCUUGCUCUUACGGGUGGCGAGUGGCGGACGGGUGAGGAAUACAUCGGAAUCUACUUUUUCGUGGGGGAUAACGUAGGGAAACUUACGCUAAUACCGCAUACGUCCUACGGGUGAAGUCAGGGGAUCUUCGGACCUUGCGCGAUUCAAUGAGCCGAUGUCGGAUUAGCUAGUUGGCGGGGUAAAGGCCCACCAAGGCGACGAUCCGUAGCUGGUCUGAGAGGAUGAUCAGCCACACUGGAACUGAGACACGGUCCAGACUCCUACGGGAGGCAGCAGUGGGGAAUAUUGGACAAUGGGCGCAAGCCUGAUCCAGCCAUACCGCGUGGGUGAAGAAGGCCUUCGGGUUGUAAAGCCCUUUUGUUGGGAAAGAAAAGCAGCAGGUUAAUACCCCGCUGUUCUGACGGUACCCAAAGAAUAAGCACCGGCUAACUUCGUG